This 63-nucleotide transfer RNA is filed under the name chicken gut metagenome. It matches the Rfam family "tRNA", at positions 6 to 65 of the family's 71-position model. From Rfam's summary of the family: Transfer RNA (tRNA) molecules are approximately 80 nucleotides in length. Their secondary structure includes four short double-helical elements and three loops (D, anti-codon, and T loops). The record is from RNAcentral.
CGUAGCUCAGUUGGAUAGAGCGACCGCCUCCUAAGCGGUAGGUCGCAGGUUCAAUUCCUGUCG